GACGGAAGGUGCAAGCGUUGCUCGGAAUCACUGGGCGUAAAGCGCACGUAGGCGGAUUGUUAAGUCAGGGGUGAAAGCCUGGAGCUCAACUCCAGAACUGCCCUUGAUACUGGCAAUCUCGAGUCCGGAAGAGGUAAGUGGAACUCCGAGUGUAGAGGUGAAAUUCGUAGAUAUUCGGAAGAACACCAGUGGCGAAGGCGGCUUACUGGUCCGGUACUGACGCUGAGGUGCGAAAGCGUGGGGAGCAAACAGG
RNAcentral lists this ribosomal RNA (253 nucleotides) under uncultured bacterium. RNAcentral describes it as "partial 16S ribosomal RNA". It matches the Rfam family "Bacterial small subunit ribosomal RNA", at positions 524 to 776 of the family's 1533-position model. The record is from RNAcentral.